This 773-nucleotide ribosomal RNA is filed under the name uncultured Neocallimastigales. RNAcentral describes it as "partial large subunit ribosomal RNA". It matches the Rfam family "Eukaryotic large subunit ribosomal RNA", at positions 24 to 640 of the family's 3401-position model. The record is from RNAcentral. Lineage: Eukaryota; Fungi; Neocallimastigomycota; Neocallimastigomycetes; Neocallimastigales.
UAUCUCUGUAGAGUCUGCAUAUCAAUAAGCGGAGGAAAAGAAACUAACAAGGAUUCCCCUAGUAACGGCGAGUGAAGCGGGAAGAGCUCAAAUUUGAAAUCUUCAAGGUUCUACCUUGACGAAUUGUAGUUUAAAGAAGUGUUUUCUGUUGAGGAGUGGUAAAAGUUCUUUGGAAUAGGACAUCAUAGAGGGUGAGAAUCCCGUAUUUGACCAUUCUUUCUAGCUUUGUGAUACACUUUCAAAGAGUCGGAUUGUUUGGGAAUGCAGUCCAAAAUGGGUGGUAAAUUUCAUCUAAAGCUAAAUAUUGGCGAGAGACCGAUAGCGAACAAGUACCGUGAGGGAAAGAUGAAAAGAACUUUGAAAAGAGAGUUAAACAGUGCGUGAAAUUGUCAAAAGGGAAGCGUUUGACACCAGUGUUGUUUUUCCGAAAAUCAAUUAAAAAUGGAUUCAUGCUAAGUUGUAUUGACCUUAUCAGCUUGCAAUUUAGUUUUGGGUUUCUUUUUGAUGCACUUUUCGGUUAACAAGUCAACAUCAAUUUCCUUUGCUGUAAAAAGGCAGGAGGAAGGUGGCUUCAAUUUCGGUUGAAGUGUUUAUAGCCUUCUGUCUCUGCAGUCGGGGAGAUUGAGGUCUGCAGCGUAGAUCCUUCGGGGCUAGAUACAUUCGUGCUAAGUUAUAGCCUUUUAUAGACAACUUGUUGACUAUGAUUGGUCUUGUAAUUUACUCGCGAGUGCUAUUUUACCUACGCUUAGGAUGUUGAUCUACAGAGCGAGAGU